This is a long non-coding RNA of Triticum aestivum (bread wheat), 1796 nucleotides long. RefSeq lists it as uncharacterized. NCBI's taxonomy places the organism in Eukaryota, Viridiplantae, Streptophyta, Magnoliopsida, Poales, Poaceae. The transcript has 3 exons. The record is from RefSeq and is a predicted model, not a curated record.
AUAUUUUGGGGGGUAACGGGGGUUGCGGGGGAUAGGCAGGACUAUGCUAGAGCAGGUGAAUGACAUUGAUAUAUCAUUGGUGCCGCUGAUGGCGCUGACCGGCAGCGAGGUCACAGCCUUGUCAGCGUCAAGCACUGACGCUCAGAUCUAUGCGGCAGAAGUGACAGUACAAGCUGUCGGUGGAGAUACAACUCAAGCAUCUGAGCUAUCCAUAGUGCAAAUCGAUCCGAAAAACCCAGGGUGGACUCGUAGAGUCAGGAUUGGUGCUUUUGAGCCAGGCAGGAAUCCAUGCCCGAACAGGAUAUCAGCAAUGGAGAAAUCAAUCUGUGGUUUUGCUGAAAACACCUCGGUGACAAUGUCAUCGUGCCAAGAUUAGGGACAAGCUUCGAUACAUUGGCGCACCAUUUCACCGGUCGCCCCCGCUCAUCCAGGCUUGCCCAACGUUAUCGGGCCGCUGCUCCGGAGAUCGACUUGGGCGGCUUCUCGUUCGUCAAUCAGCUGAAGUAUUUUGGUUUUUGCAUCGAGCGCCAGAGGCCCACGAGCAUCACCUCCACUUCCCCAUUGGCCCAGGUCGUCCCUUCCCAUUCUGUCGCUCUAUAAUGUCAGCCCUGAAACCGCCGGCGGCGCCAUAAUGAUGAGGGUCAAGGCCGAUGGUAUUCCUUCGGUAACAGUCCACCGUAAAGUGCAGGCCUACAUUUUGAUUCCCCUCUCUCUUUCCUCGAAGUUGAUAGUGCUAAUUGUGGCUGUUCUCUUUGGUGAUUGUUCAUGAAUCAUGGAGGCGGCGACGACGACAAGCGAGAGAGCUUUGCUCCGGUGUAGGCGAGCGAUCAGUAUAAGGAGGAGGCGGCCUAAACGGCUUCGAUAAAGAAUACUGACUGUAAAGAUCUCUGCCUUCUCCGGUCAAUUCUGGUCAACAAUUCUGGUAAAAAAUCUUAUAUUCUCAUUUGGCUGGGGUAUGCACAUUCAUCUUACAAUAACUGCAUAAAUGAAGGAAAUCUACGUACUAAAGAAGACGAGAGAAUAUAAAUAUUCAACGUCAGUUUAUUGACGCCUCUCCGUAAAGAUUGAUGAUAUAAAUCACUUUUGUUUCAACAUGCUAGGACUUGACUUCCAUCAGUUCAUCUUUGUACCCUGUUAUACGGACGAUUGCUCAUGUUGUUUCUUUCUCUUAAGUCAUUGAUUAAUUUUCCUGAGCAUUCCAAAUGGUUUGUUGACUGAUGAAUUCAGGCUUGCUAAAACUUUGUUUCUUCUCUGUUACUUUUGUAACUACUGUAAUAUCACACUAGAUCUUAAAUUGGAUGGUUUAGUCCGUACAAACUAUUUGAUGUAAGCUGAACUCUCGGGAAUGUUACUCAAGCAUUAGAGUUGAUGUUGAUCUUGUGCAAGAAUAGAAUAUGCUAGCCUUUACAAGAUAGAAUAUUGUAUUGUUUUUGCUCUAUGUAUUUCCUUGCAUCUUCUUGUAAUGACCGGACAAAGAGAAAAUGUAAAAAUGAAAGCAUUUAUGUAGGUGUAUAGGUUCCAAACUUGAUGUAAAUAUGCGCCACCAUCAGUGUCAACACAUUGAAAUUCAAUUAGUUUGAAUUUUACCAAAUGUUUCCAUUGUUCAAGUUUUCUAAAUAUUUGUAUAGUAGUUCUUUUCCCUAGAUGGACGAGCGCGGCAACGCGCGCCAUCAUGAUCUAGUGAUUUUUACAAUCUGUAUUCCUAGAUCAAUAUCAUCAUGCAGUAGAAAAGUUGCGAGUUAUUUUCCACAAAUGUCUCCAGUAAAGAUUUUCUAACCGAGAAUUCAGGUUCUACU